Molecule: ribosomal RNA, 471 nt
Filed under: Triticum aestivum (bread wheat)
Lineage: Eukaryota; Viridiplantae; Streptophyta; Magnoliopsida; Poales; Poaceae
Description: partial small subunit ribosomal RNA
Source: RNAcentral
AUGGAGGUCUCAGGCGCUGCAGCGAAGGGGAAGAAGGGCGCGGCCGGGCGCAAGGCCGGCGGCCCUAGGAAGAAGUCGGUGACGCGGUCCGUCAAGGCCGGGCUGCAGUUCCCCGUCGGCCGCAUCGGGCGCUACCUCAAGAAGGGCCGCUACGCCCAGCGCGUCGGCACCGGCGCCCCCGUCUACCUCGCCGCCGUCCUCGAGUACCUCGCCGCUGAGCUGCUGGAGCUCGCCGGGAACGCCGCCAAGGACAACAAGAAGAGCCGCAUCAUCCCGCGCCACCUGCUGCUCGCCGUCCGGAACGACGAGGAGCUCGGAAAGCUGUUGGCCGGCGUCACCAUCGCGCACGGCGGCGUGAUCCCCAAGAUCAACCCUGUGCUGCUCCCCAAGAAGACGGCGGAGAAGGAGGGCAAGGAGCCCAAGUCUCCCAAGAAGGCGACCAAGUCCCCGAAGAAGGCCACCAAGGCUUAG